GAAGAAAUUUUCCGACAGGAGAGCUGUGUCAGGAAUGUCCGCGCCGCCUGUCCAGGCCGGCUGCGUUUGCUCUGCUUGGGUGAUCUGCGAACCGGGGGGACACUUCUUUCAGGGAUCCUCGAGUGAAAAUAUGUGCGGCUUGGAAAGUACUCAGGAUUCUGGAAUUGGCAAGGAUGAAGCACUCUGCAUUUAUAAAUAGCCUCCUGCUUUUUGGGAUUUCAAUGACUGUUAUGAUUGUUCUCCCUCAUUUAUAAAUUAUUGCUGGGAAAGGCACAUUCUCAAAUA
RNAcentral lists this long non-coding RNA (285 nucleotides) under Felis catus (domestic cat). RNAcentral describes it as "lncRNA (ENSFCAG00000052016.1)". Lineage: Eukaryota; Metazoa; Chordata; Mammalia; Carnivora; Felidae. The record is from RNAcentral.